This 253-nucleotide ribosomal RNA is filed under the name uncultured bacterium. RNAcentral's name for it is "partial 16S ribosomal RNA". It matches the Rfam family "Bacterial small subunit ribosomal RNA", at positions 524 to 776 of the family's 1533-position model. The record is from RNAcentral.
UACGUAGGGUGCAAGCGUUAAUCGGAAUUACUGGGCGUAAAGCGUGCGCAGGCGGUUCUAUAAGACAGAUGUGAAAUCCCCGGGCUCAACCUGGGAACUGCAUUUGUGACUGUAGAGCUGGAGUACGGUAGAGGGGGAUGGAAUUCCGCGUGUAGCAGUGAAAUGCAUAGAUAUGCAGAGGAACACCGAUGGCGAAGGCAAUCCCCUAGACCUGUACUGACGCUCAUGCACGAAAGCGUGGGGAGCAAACAGG